GGGCUUUGGGACUGCAAGGAGUGGUCACCUGCCUGUCACGCAGGAAAUCAGACGGGUUCAAUCCCCGUAAGGCUCG
RNAcentral lists this transfer RNA (76 nucleotides) under Lachnospiraceae bacterium. RNAcentral describes it as "tRNA-Asp". Lineage: Bacteria; Bacillati; Bacillota; Clostridia; Lachnospirales; Lachnospiraceae. The record is from RNAcentral.